GCUGUUAAUAGCCCUAGCUCACCACAUUCUCCCUUCUGGUUCUUCUAUAGCCCACCCACACCUUUAAAAAUAGUCUCCUUGAAAUUAAAUCUUCCUCAAAUUAUCCUAAAUUAAGUGUACCAUGUGUUUCAAAUUGCAGCCUCAACUGGCUCACUGCCUUCUUUAUCCCAGCCUCCAUUGCAGUGAGGUUGGGGGCCAUAUGACUACUGCUGACCAAUGGACUGUGAACAGAAACGGCAGCAUCACUCCCAUGGAGCCUCCUCCAUCUCUCUUCCCUGUUGUGACAAUCUCAGAGGCUACGUUCUUUCCAUGGCUGGGCUACAAGGUGGUGAAAGGCUGCCCAACCUGGUUUGCAACGCCACCUCAGUAAGCUGAGAUGUGGUAAUUGCCAUGGCAACGGGGCUGCCUUAAAAGCACUGUGCACACACAGUGAGAGACUGGUGCCUGACAGAGUUCAGUCUGGUCUCACUGCACAUCUUCCCUAAUUAAGAUGCACCUUUUGGUUUUGUCUUUUUUGGGGAAAAAAAAAAUGCUCCCUUUAUAGCCACGAGGCAGAAGAAAAAUUAAGGCCAAGAUCCUUUCAUGCCCAAUAUGGGCCUGCUUGGCUGUUGGAGCAUGGGGGAUCAUGGGCAGCAAGUGAGAAAGUGCACAGUGAUUUGCCGCUGUUACAUCCUGAGAAACUGGAGGGAUGUCAUCAAAGUCCUUGAAUAGCUGGAGAGUGGGUGUGGGAUGGUUAUGUUUGAAAAUGUAGCUCUGAUAUAAAACAAAGCAAAGACUGCACUGUUUGCCCAACAAGAGCCUUGCUGGAGACCCUAAGCCUAAGAUAGAAGCUUCUGCCAUCAACAGGCCACAAAACCCAUACUUCCUGCUCUAUGAGGCUUCUGAACUUGGUUCCCUGGAAUCCUCCCUCCUUAUCAGGUAUCUGCGUCUAGGCCUAGGGGAGACCAGACCGAGGUCUGUCCUUGUCUGCCUACAAGGACAAGGCAUUCUACUGCCGUAGACCACUUGUUUAUGUGUCUCUAAAAUUUGUAUGUUAAAGCCUGAAUCCCCAGUACGAUCAUAUUUGGAGGUGGGACUUUUGAAAGGUGAUUAGGUUUAGAUGAGCUCAUGCGGGUGGGGCCCUCAUAAGGGUAUUAAUGUCCUUAUGUGAAGAGACACAACGGAGCUUGCUUCCUCUCUCUCUUUCCCCACCAUGUGAAGACACAGCAAGAGGGCAGCCGUCUGCAAACCAGAAAGAGAGCCCUCACCAGGAACUGGAUCUGCUGGCACCUUGAUCUUGGACUUCCCAGCCUUUAGAGCUGUGAGAAAUGUCGCCCUCAGGUCAAUGGGAUAUUUGUUACAGUACCAGAACCUCUUUCGGCGGGGCAGAGCAUGGCUCCCCAAGUCCCACAGACCUGGUCUGGAACUCAGCUUCACCGCCAACUGCCUGUGUGACCUUGAGGAAGUUACAUAACCUCUCUGGGGCUCAGUUGACUCGCCCCAGAAUGAGAGAGGUGGCUGUGACGUUAAAGGAGGUAUUCCUUUCCAAGGACCUGGAAGGCCAGGUUUGACGUUGGAAUUGUGACUGUCAGAGUCUCGUGCUGGAAGGUGAUGGCCGGGGAGAGUCAGCCCCUGUCGUCCUCCAGCCCUUCUGCUUCCCUCACUAACUUCCACCUUGCCUGGCAGGGGUCUUCUCAGGGUGCACCUGAGGGUGCCCACCUGGAGCGUCUAAGCUCAGUUCACACCCUUCAAACUCAGCAGCCCCUUGGUCGAAAGACAAAGGCGUCAGUGGGCGUGGGGUCUGCCCUUCAGACAGAAGGAAGAAGACCUCAGCGGGGAGAGGGGGCAGCUCUGGGGCAGGACAUUUUGGUGUCCUGGGCCAUGCAGGCAAGUCUCUCUCUUAGGAUCCCAUCUCUGCCACUGGGUCUGGGGGAAUGAAUGCCUGCUGGUCUACUUCCUCGAGGAGAGGAGGUAUUUUUUCACCCAAAAAAAAUUAAAAUAAUUUUUAAAAAUUAAAAAAUGAGACUAAUAGUCAGUUCCCAGUUCUCAGCGCUUCCAUAUUGCUGAUCAUCUGAACACGGCUAGGUUUCUAGCCUAUCAUCUUACUGGCUUUAAAAAUAUAUACACGGCCAGGCGCGGUGGCUCAAGCCUGUAAUCCCAGCACUUUGGGAGACCAA
Non-coding RNA from Macaca mulatta (Rhesus monkey), 2156 nucleotides. The record is from RefSeq and is a predicted model, not a curated record. NCBI's taxonomy places the organism in Eukaryota, Metazoa, Chordata, Mammalia, Primates, Cercopithecidae.